CAGUCGCCGCGGGAAGACAGAGGAUGCAAGCGUUAUCCGGAAUGAUUGGGCGUAAAGCGUCUGUAGGUGGCUUUUCAAGUCCACCGUCAAAUCCCAGGGCUCAACCCCGGAAUUGCCUUUAAGACUGCAUCGCUUGAAUCGCGGAGAGGUGAGUGGAAUUCCGAGUGUAGAGGUGAAAUUCGUAGAUAUUCGGAAGAACACCAGUGGCGAAGGCGGCUCACUGGACGCGUAUUGACGCUGAGGUACGAAGGCGUGGGGAGCAAACAGGAUUAGAUACCCCAGUAGUCCCUGUCUCUUAUAC
This 301-nucleotide ribosomal RNA is filed under the name uncultured bacterium. RNAcentral's name for it is "partial 16S ribosomal RNA". It matches the Rfam family "Bacterial small subunit ribosomal RNA", at positions 509 to 807 of the family's 1533-position model. The record is from RNAcentral.